This 492-nucleotide ribosomal RNA is filed under the name uncultured bacterium. RNAcentral describes it as "bacterial SSU rRNA". It matches the Rfam family "Bacterial small subunit ribosomal RNA", at positions 8 to 518 of the family's 1533-position model. The record is from RNAcentral.
AGAGUUGAUCAUGGCUCAGGACGAACGCUGGCGGCGUGCUUAACACAUGCAAGUCGAGCGAUGAAGCUCCUUCGGGAGUAGAUUAGCGGCGGACGGGUGAGUAACACGUGGGUAACCUGCCUCAUAGAGGGGAAUAGCCUUUCGAAAGGAAGAUUAAUACCGCAUAUGGUAGCUUUAUCGCAUGGUAGUGCUAUUAAAGGAGUAAUCCGCUAUGAGAUGGACCCGCGUCGCAUUAGCUAGUUGGUGAGGUAACGGCUCACCAAGGCGACGAUGCGUAGCCGACCUGAGAGGGUGAUCGGCCACAUUGGGACUGAGACACGGCCCAGACUCCUACGGGAGGCAGCAGUGGGGAAUAUUGCACAAUGGGGGAAACCCUGAUGCAGCAACGCCGCGUGAGUGAUGACGGUCUUCGGAUUGUAAAGCUCUGUCUUUAGGGACGAUAAUGACGGUACCUAAGGAGGAAGCCACGGCUAACUACGUGCCAGCCGCAGC